UACGGAGGGGGCUAGCGUUGUUCGGAAUCACUGGGCGUAAAGCGCACGUAGGCGGAUUUGUCAGUCAGAGGUGAAAGGCCAGGGCUCAACCCUGGAACUGCCUUUGAUACUGCAAAUCUUGAAUCCGGGAGAGGGUGGCGGAAUUCCAAGUGUAGAGGUGAAAUUCGUAGAUAUUUGGAAGAACACCGGUGGCGAAGGCGGCCACCUGGACCGGUAUUGACGCUGAGGUGCGAAAGCGUGGGGAGCGAACAGG
Molecule: ribosomal RNA, 253 nt
Filed under: uncultured bacterium
Lineage: Bacteria
Description: partial 16S ribosomal RNA
Rfam family: Bacterial small subunit ribosomal RNA
Source: RNAcentral